RNAcentral lists this ribosomal RNA (422 nucleotides) under uncultured bacterium. Its description in RNAcentral is "bacterial SSU rRNA". It matches the Rfam family "Bacterial small subunit ribosomal RNA", at positions 362 to 775 of the family's 1533-position model. The record is from RNAcentral.
UCUUCCGCAAUGGACGAAAGUCUGACGGAGCAACGCCGCGUGAGUGAUGAAGGUUUUCGGAUCGUAAAACUCUGUUGUUAGAGAAGAACNAGGGUGAGAGUGGAAAGUUCACCCCUUGACGGUAUCUAACCAGAAAGCCACGGCUAACUACGUGCCAGCAGCCGCGGUAAUACGUAGGUGGCUAGCGUUGUCCGGAUUUAUUGGGCGUAAAGCGAGCGCAGGCGGUUCUUUAAGUCUGAUGUGAAAGCCCCCGGCUCAACCGGGGAGGGUCAUUGGAAACUGGAGGACUAGAGUGCAGAAGAGGAGAGUGGAAUUCCAUGUGUAGCGGUGAAAUGCGUAGAUAUAUGGAGGAACACCAGUGGCGAAGGCGGCUCUCUGGUCUGUAACUGACGCUGAGGCUCGAAAGCGUGGGGAGCAAACAG